Molecule: unclassified non-coding RNA, 141 nt
Filed under: uncultured fungus
Lineage: Eukaryota; Fungi
Description: sequence contains ITS2
Source: RNAcentral
CAACCCUCAAGCCCCGCUUGGUGAUGGGCCCCGCCCGCGGGCGGGCCCGAAACUCGCAGGCGCCUCCGUCCGGCCUCAAGCGUAGCAAAACCCUCGCUUGGGUGUCCGGUCGGCGGCCGCCCCGAAACAAAUCUAUCACAA